Molecule: ribosomal RNA, 355 nt
Filed under: uncultured bacterium
Lineage: Bacteria
Description: bacterial SSU rRNA
Rfam family: Bacterial small subunit ribosomal RNA
Source: RNAcentral
CUACGUAGCUCAGAGUUUGAUCCUGGCUCAGGACAAACGCUGGCGGCGUGCUUAACACAUGCAAGUCGAACGGGGUGCCUUAGAUUGAAGCUUCGGCAGAUCUCUUUGGUUACCUAGUGGCGGACGGGUGAGUAACACGUGAGUAACCUGCCCUUGAGUGGGGAAUAACACACCGAAAGGUGUGCUAAUACCGCAUAACAUAUCGGAUUCGCAUGUUUCUGAUAUCAAAGAUUUAUUGCUCAAGGAUGGGCUCGCGGCCGAUUAGGUAGUUGGUGAGGUAAUGGCUCACCAAGCCGACGAUCGGUAGCCGGACUGAGAGGUUGAACGGCCACAUUGGGACUGAGACACGGCCCAG